GCUGACGAGUGGCGGACGGGUGAGUAAUGUCUGGGAAACUGCCCGAUGGAGGGGGAUAACUACUGGAAACGGUAGCUAAUACCGCAUAACGUCGCAAGACCAAAGAGGGGGACCUUAGGGCCUCUUGCCAUCGGAUGUGCCCAGAUGGGAUUAGCUAGUAGGUGGGGUAAAGGCUCACCUAGGCGACGAUCCCUAGCUGGUCUGAGAGGAUGACCAGCCACACUGGAACUGAGACACGGUCCAG
This 244-nucleotide ribosomal RNA is filed under the name Escherichia coli. RNAcentral describes it as "partial 16S ribosomal RNA". It matches the Rfam family "Bacterial small subunit ribosomal RNA", at positions 87 to 334 of the family's 1533-position model. Lineage: Bacteria; Pseudomonadati; Pseudomonadota; Gammaproteobacteria; Enterobacterales; Enterobacteriaceae. The record is from RNAcentral.